AGAAUGGGAAUUGUAUAUGGUUC
This 23-nucleotide non-coding RNA is filed under the name Arabidopsis thaliana (thale cress). Lineage: Eukaryota; Viridiplantae; Streptophyta; Magnoliopsida; Brassicales; Brassicaceae. The record is from RNAcentral.